Molecule: ribosomal RNA, 496 nt
Filed under: uncultured bacterium
Lineage: Bacteria
Description: partial 16S ribosomal RNA
Rfam family: Bacterial small subunit ribosomal RNA
Source: RNAcentral
GAUGAACGCUGGCGGCGUGCCUAAUACAUGCAAGUCGAGCGCACAGACGAGGAGCUUGCUCCUCUGACGUUAGCGGCGGACGGGUGAGUAACACGUGGAUAACCUACCUAUAAGCCUGGGAUAACUUCGGGAAACCGGAGCUAAUACCGGAUAAUAUAUUGAACCGCAUGGUUCAAUAGUGAAAGACGGUUUUGCUGUCACUUAUAGAUGGAUCCGCGCUGCAUUAGCGAGUUGGUAAGGUAACGGCUUACCAAGGCAACGACGCGGAGCCGACCUGAGAGUGUGAUCGCCCACUCUGAACCUGAGACGCCGCCCACUCUCCUACGGGGGGGCGGUGGAGGGAAUUUGCCGCAAGGGGCGAAACCCUGAGGGAGCAACGCCGCGAGAGUGAUGAAGGUCCUCGGAGCGUAAAACUCUUUUAUGAGAAAAGAACAAAUGUGUAAGUAACGAUGCACGUCUUGACGGGACCUAAUCAGAAAGCCACGGCUAAUUACGU